GAACGAACGCGUGGCGGCGCGCCUAAUACAUGCAAGUCGAGCGAGAAGACGUAGCAAUACGUUUGUAAAGCGGCGAACGGGUGAGGAAUACAUGGGUAACCUACCCUCGAGUGGGGAAUAACUAGCCGAAAGGUUAGCUAAUACCGCGUACGCUCCUUGGACUUCGGUUCAGGGAGGAAAGCGAUACCGUGGGUAUCGCGCUCUUGGAUGGGCUCAUGUCCUAUCAGCUUGUUGGUGAGGUAACGGCUCACCAAGGCUUCGACGGGUAGCUGGUCUGAGAGGACGAUCAGCCACACUGGCACUGCGACACGGGCCAGACUCCGUACGGGAGGCAGCAGUAAGGAAUAAUUGCGCAAUGGGCGAAAGCCCUGACGCAGCGACGCCGCGUGGGGGA
RNAcentral lists this ribosomal RNA (394 nucleotides) under uncultured bacterium. RNAcentral describes it as "bacterial SSU rRNA". It matches the Rfam family "Bacterial small subunit ribosomal RNA", at positions 27 to 408 of the family's 1533-position model. The record is from RNAcentral.